AAAUUUAUUAUUUAUCUAUUUAUUUUUGUGGUACUGGGGAUUCAAUCCCAGUACAUCCUUAGUCCAUUUUAAUUUUAAUUUAUUUUUGUCCUUUUGAGUCAGGGUCUUGCUCUGCAGUUCAUGCUGGCCUCAAACUUACAGUGAUCCUCAUGCCUCAGCCUCCCUGGUGCUGGGAUUAUAGGUGUGCACCACCACGCCCAGCCCCUUUUUAUUUUUAACACAGGGUCUUGGUAUGUAGUUUAGGCUGGCCUUGACCUCACAGUGAGCCUUCUGUCUUGUCCUCCUAGCUCCUUUUUAAAAGCUUUUCAUUUUUUUUUUUUUUUGUUUUUCUUCCAGUACCAGGAAUCGAACCCACGACCUUGUGCUUGCCAGCUAGGUGCUGUACCGCUGAGCUAAGUCUCCAGCCCCUUAAAAGCUUUUCAUUUUUGAGUCUCACUAAGUGGCUAAAUCGCCCAUACUGGGCUUGAAUUUGCAACCCUCUUGCCUCAGCCUUCCAGAGCACUGGGAUUACAGGGAUGUGUCACAACGCCCAGUUUUGCUUGGAACAGCCCUUAGGGCCUCGGAGCCUGCCUGCUCUUGCCUCCCUUUCUCCGAUGAGGACUCUGAGGGCGAAGACGUUGGCCAGAAGUCACAGUGGCCCGCAGCCCGCGUCCGCCCUGCCGACGUCUGCCCGGUAAACAGAGCUGGCCCGCACCGGGGGUGGAGUCCCCGCGGGGACAGCCAUUCAAGGGCCUGGAGCAAGGACGAGGGGACAGAGCCUGUGCUGCGGGCAGCAGGCCUCGGGGCACCUGAGCCCCGCCCAGGCUCGGCGAGCUCCUGCGGGCCUUGCAGGUGCCAGGAGGCCCAGGCUCUCACUCCGGACCGCGUCCAGGGCCGCCAUCUCGGUCCCGCGCCGCAGCCGGCGGCACGCACAAGAGCCCCGCCCC
Molecule: long non-coding RNA, 926 nt
Filed under: Chinchilla lanigera (long-tailed chinchilla)
Lineage: Eukaryota; Metazoa; Chordata; Mammalia; Rodentia; Chinchillidae
Description: lncRNA (ENSCLAG00000022488.1)
Source: RNAcentral